This 253-nucleotide ribosomal RNA is filed under the name uncultured bacterium. Its description in RNAcentral is "partial 16S ribosomal RNA". It matches the Rfam family "Bacterial small subunit ribosomal RNA", at positions 524 to 776 of the family's 1533-position model. The record is from RNAcentral.
UACGAAGGGUGCUAGCGUUGUUCGGAUUUACUGGGCGUAAAGCGCGUGUAGGCGGGUCGUUAAGUUAGGGGUGAAAUCCCAAGGCUCAACCUUGGAACUGCCUCUAAAACUGGCGACCUGGAGCAGAUGAGAGGCGAGUGGAAUUCCGAGUGUAGAGGUGAAAUUCGUAGAUAUUCGGAGGAACACCAGUGGCGAAGGCGACUCGCUGGCAUCUUGCUGACGCUGAGACGCGAAAGCGUGGGGAGCAAACAGG